This 450-nucleotide ribosomal RNA is filed under the name uncultured bacterium. Its description in RNAcentral is "partial 16S ribosomal RNA". It matches the Rfam family "Bacterial small subunit ribosomal RNA", at positions 338 to 795 of the family's 1533-position model. The record is from RNAcentral.
CCUACGGGAGGCUGCAGUGGGGAAUUUUGCACAAUGGGCGAAAGCCUGAUGCAGCAACGCCGCGUGUGUGAUGAAGGUCUUCGGAUCGUAAAGCACUUUCGACCGGGACGAACAACCUCUGGCUAACAGUCAGGGGCCUGACGGUACCGGGAGAAGAAGCACCGGCUAACUCUGUGCCAGCAGCCGCGGUAAUACAGAGGGUGCAAGCGUUGUUCGGAAUUAUUGGGCGUAAAGCGCGUGUAGGCGGCGUGAAAGCCCUCAGCUCAACUGAGGAAGGGCGCCCGAAACUGGCGAGCUUGAGUGUCGGAGAGGAUGGCGGAAUACCCCAAGUAGAGGUGAAAUUCGUAGAUAUGGGGUGGAACACCGGUGGCGAAGGCGGCCAUCUGGACGACAACUGACGCUGAGACGCGAAAGCGUGGGGAGCAAACAGGAUUAGAUACCCUAGUAGUC